Molecule: long non-coding RNA, 1386 nt
Filed under: Gadus morhua (Atlantic cod)
Lineage: Eukaryota; Metazoa; Chordata; Actinopteri; Gadiformes; Gadidae
Description: lncRNA (ENSGMOG00000024533.1)
Source: RNAcentral
AAGGUGAACCAGCCAACUGCUCGGGUUGUCUCUGGACAGAGAAAACAAGAGGAGCCAACACCUUGGGGGCCAAAAGUUGUGAUGGCCCAGGCUGAUAAACCAACAGCCAAUGAGACCAGCUUCUUGGGAUGUUCAACCAAGGUAAUGACAACAAUAUAAAAAAUGAUUUGCAAAUAAGCAAUCAAUCUGUUCCAGGAUCAGUAUCUAGAAACAUUUACAUUUUUACUUCAUAAUUACAAUCAACAUAGUUUAACUGUUUUUAACAUGUUCUUGGUAAUAUCUACACACUAUGAAUUGGAAAUGUCAAGAAGGUUGGCUGAUGAACUUGUUGUGCUCAUUUUAAUUAUUUAAACUGAACUGAAAUAAAAGUUUUCUUUGUCCUUAAUUCUGUUCACCACAAUACACCAAAUGUCCCCUUUUCUAUGGCUUAUGAGUUUGCAUGUAGGGGUAAAACACAUUUUUUUAACAUUCGUAAUGUUUGUGAUUGCAGAUGACACACAUUGAGGACCAUGAGCCGUUUGAAGCAGCACCUGAGGUCACUGCGAGCAGUCAGCAGCAGAGCCCGCCUGAGGACAAUAGCCAGCUUGAAGAUCGUCAUGUAACACUUGGCAAUCAGAAGGCACCCUGUGAUUUUGCACCUGCCAGAGCUGCUACAUCAAGUCAUGUGACUUAUGACAACCCUGGGUGUCUUCAAGGAUCGUUUGACCAGAGCAGCCAGAUAUUCGGGGAAAAUGCAGGUAAGCAGUGUGCUACAAAUGGCAUAGCGGCGAUUAUGACCCACACCACCCAUUGCGUUCUCAAAUGGAAAAAAAAGAACAUUCAUCAUAUUCUAAAACAAGGUAAUGGCUUGUACACAUCUAUGCUAGAAAAUAAGGAAAUCAGUGCAGCCAAAACCAGUGGGCAUAUUUUCAUUUCCGAGUUACCCAGACACUGCAAAUUCAACAAUAAAUUAUUUAGUUUGGAAUAUUUUGAUACACUCACUGGAAGUCUUGAUCAAAAGGAUGAUUAUGACGCUCCUUUGCAAAACAUAGCCAUGCCUUUAGAAGAGGCUAUUCAGAAGACACUGCUGCAGACAGACACAUGCUUGCUCAACAUCCAAGGAAGUAUCUGUGCCGUUUUCAAGGUCGAAACUGCUUUUGCAGUUUUCGAUCCUCAUUCUCGUAGUACUUGGGGUUCGGUUUCACCGGAUGGAACCAGCAUAGUAGCGCACUAUGCUACUGUGUAUGAGUUAUAUGACCAUAUUAAGAACCUUGGCAAUUCCUUAUAUCAAAAUCAUCCACAUGCUUUUGAUAUCCCAAACAAGGUGUUUGAAGUCACUGGUGUGAAAGCUGUUGAGGUAAACUCACCAUUUACUGCUUUAACUGCACAGCCUGAAGCCAGCACUUC